AUUGAACGCGGGCGGCAGGCUUAACACAUGCAAGUCGAGCGGGGGAAGGUAGCUUGCUACCGGACCUAGCGGCGGACGGGUGAGUAAUGCUUAGGAAUCUGCCUAUUAGUGGGGGACAACAUCUCGAAAGGGAUGCUAAUACCGCAUACGUCCUACGGGAGAAAGCAGGGGAUCUUCGGACCUUGCGCUAAUAGAUGAGCCUAAGUCGGAUUAGCUAGUUGGUGGGGUAAAGGCCUACCAAGGCGACGAUCUGUAGCGGGUCUGAGAGGAUGAUCCGCCACACUGGGACGGAGACACGGCCCAGACUCCUUCGGGAGGCAGCAGUGGGGAAUAUUGGACAAUGGGGGGAACCCUGAUCCAGCCAUGCCGCGUGUGUGAAGAAGGCCUUAUGGUUGUAAAGCACUUUAAGCGAGGAGGAGGCUACUUUAGUUAAUACCUAGAGAUAGUGGACGUUACUCGCAGAAUAAGCACCGGCUAACUCUGUGCCAGCAGCCGCCGUAA
This 501-nucleotide ribosomal RNA is filed under the name uncultured bacterium. RNAcentral's name for it is "partial 16S ribosomal RNA". It matches the Rfam family "Bacterial small subunit ribosomal RNA", at positions 30 to 523 of the family's 1533-position model. The record is from RNAcentral.